AAGUAUUGCAGGAAACAGGAGGUAUCCGAUCAACCCCAUUUCUCGCUGGAAAGUAGCAACACGGCAAUCACAUUAAUUAAAAAAUAGAGCAGACGAUGUUCCCUGAAGUUACAGCAUAAGAAAUUAGCAUUUCGCAUCAACUUGUGAGUUUGUAACAUGCCACCUGUGACAGGAGGUGCCUUUGCUGUUGCCCUAGGGGUCUUUGAGCUAG
Molecule: long non-coding RNA, 211 nt
Organism: Hordeum vulgare subsp. vulgare (domesticated barley)
Lineage: Eukaryota; Viridiplantae; Streptophyta; Magnoliopsida; Poales; Poaceae
Exons: 2
Source: RefSeq, a predicted model, not a curated record